Heterocephalus glaber (naked mole-rat) is the source of this 1156-nucleotide long non-coding RNA. RefSeq lists it as uncharacterized. The record is from RefSeq and is a predicted model, not a curated record. Lineage: Eukaryota; Metazoa; Chordata; Mammalia; Rodentia; Bathyergidae.
CGGCAACCCGCGGCUUCCUCUCCCUAGAGACCUGCCUCUUUGGGUUUCUUUGGCACAGAAACCCAAUUUGUCUUGGUUUUGAGUCCCAGAGGAUCCAGGAGAAUUACUAGAAGGCAGGGCAUUUAGCUCAGUGGUUCCGCUGCCUGUCUCACAAGCGCAAGGGCCUAAAUUCGAUACAAGAGGUCAUGGUGCCUUCAUUAAAUUGGAAAAAGUAUAACUAAAUUAAAAAACAGGACUCAUAAGUUUUGCUCAAAAGAAGCUUAAAGAGGACAUAUCAAGGACAAUGAGAAAGCCCCACCAAGAUACCAAAUCUUCACUUCAGUUAAUGUGAAGUUCUACUUCUACAAGGAAAAAGAUAAUGCAGUUUUUGUCUGUCUUACGCUGCUGCCAGAAUGUGAGGAUGUCUUCUAUAACCGAGUGCCUUGGAUUAUAUCUUAGUCUACUUGGUGUUGUGCUAACAAAUAUUGUUGAUUCAUUUAUUAACCAUUCUGAUUUAGGAUUUUAGAAGCAUGUAUAAAGAUAUUGCAGGGCUGGGGAUUUAGCUCAGUGACACCGUGCCUGCCUCGCAAGCCCAAGGUCCUGAGUUCGAUCCCCGGUACCCCCCCAAAAAAAUAUAUCACACAUUAUAUGUAUUUAUAUAGAGAUGUAUAAAUGUAUAACAUCAAUAUUCCAGGAUAGACUGACACAUUUUAAAGCAUAAUGUUGUGGGACUGUAUGAUUCAAAAUUCAUUUAUUCCCCUAGCCUCUGUUAUGUUUAAAAUUUAAUGGUUAGAAUGUGCUUGUUAGUCUUGAAAUAGUAGAUAAAAUCUGCAACAAAGCAAAGUUCCUAAGUAAAUCAUUCAACCCCUUGUUUGUCCGGAGAACGAAAAUUCCCGGACCCACUAUCGGUAGAACAAUUCAUCACUGUGUCUGCUGAUCAUCAGUACGUGACGGUCGUGACCAUAUGGUCCUGACCAUUACUGUGUGUCUGCUGACCGUUAGUACGUGACAGUUGACCACCAACCUUUGUUCCUUGUUUUCCGUAAAUCUUCAUGUUAACCUCCCCCUCAACCCCCUAUAAAAACAGCCUCGGACUCUGAGCCAGUUGCCUCUCUUAGCUACUUUGCUUUGGGAGUGCCGUCUGGCCAGACUAAUAAAGGUCUGUUUUACUUUCCAA